RNAcentral lists this small RNA (283 nucleotides) under Loxodonta africana (African savanna elephant). RNAcentral's name for it is "7SK RNA (ENSLAFG00000033210.1)". Lineage: Eukaryota; Metazoa; Chordata; Mammalia; Proboscidea; Elephantidae. The record is from RNAcentral.
GGAAGUGACUAGGGGACUGUGGGACAUUUGUCAGCCUGUUGAUAUCUAGGGUUAAUUUUGCUGACCUGUGUGGGGUUGCUGGGGUUCCCUUCCUUCACCCAUCUUCAUUCAUGUCCUUAAUAAGGAUGUAAAAAUGAAUUGUCUCAUGAAGGAACAUCAUCCUUUGGCCAAAAAUAUGGGACUAGCAUUCCCUUGCUAAAGCUUCCAAAUAAGCCCUCAAGUCUAUUUGUUAAGAUUCUACAGAAGCCACUAACAGGCUUUGCUUUCGUAAGUGCCUAAUUUG